RNAcentral lists this ribosomal RNA (345 nucleotides) under uncultured bacterium SY4-17. Its description in RNAcentral is "bacterial SSU rRNA". It matches the Rfam family "Bacterial small subunit ribosomal RNA", at positions 8 to 346 of the family's 1533-position model. The record is from RNAcentral. Lineage: Bacteria; Pseudomonadati; Verrucomicrobiota; Verrucomicrobiia; Verrucomicrobiales; Verrucomicrobiaceae.
AGAGUUUGAUCCUGGCUCAGAACGAACGCUGGCGGCGUGGAUAAGACAUGCAAGUCGAACGGGAUUUAGUUUGUAGCAAUACACGCUAGAUUCAGUGGCAAACGGGUGCGUAACACGUGAGCAAUCUGCCGGGAAGUGCGGAAUAGCUCGCCGAAAGGSAAUUAAUGCCGCAUGUGGCUAGGGGGGACAUCCCUCUGAAGCUAAAGUCGCAAGACGCUUCCUGAUGAGCUCGCGGCCUAUCAGCUAGUUGGUGAGGUAACGGCCCACCAAGGCGAUGACGGGUAGCUGGUCUGAGAGGACGACCAGCCACACUGGAACUGAGACACGGUCCAGACACCUACGGGU